UAGGGAAUCUUCCGCAAUGGGCGAAAGCCUGACGGAGCAACGCCGCGUGAGUGAUGAAGGUCUUCGGAUCGUAAAACUCUGUUAUUAGGGAAGAACAAAUGUGUAAGUAACUAUGCACGUCUUGACGGUACCUAAUCAGAAAGCCACGGCUAACUACGUGCCAGCAGCCGCGGUAAUACGUAGGUGGCAAGCGUUAUCCGGAAUUAUUGGGCGUAAAGCGCGCGUAGGCGGUUUUUUAAGUCUGAUGUGAAAGCCCACGGCUCAACCGUGGAGGGUCAUUGGAAACUGGAAAACUUGAGUGCAGAAGAGGAAAGUGGAAUUCCAUGUGUAGCGGUGAAACGCGCAGAGAUAUGGAGGAACACCAGUGGCGAAGGCGACUUUCUGGUCUGUAACUGACGCUGAUGUGCGAAAGCGUGGGGAUCAAACAGG
RNAcentral lists this ribosomal RNA (429 nucleotides) under Actinomycetes bacterium. Its description in RNAcentral is "Actinobacteria bacterium partial 16S ribosomal RNA". It matches the Rfam family "Bacterial small subunit ribosomal RNA", at positions 355 to 776 of the family's 1533-position model. The record is from RNAcentral. Lineage: Bacteria; Bacillati; Actinomycetota; Actinomycetes.